UCCGUAGGCGGGCGAUUAAGUCAGAGGUGAAAUCCCACAGCUCAACUGUGGAACUGCCUUUGAUACUGGUUGUCUUGAGUUAUAGUGAAGUAGAUAGAAUAUGUAGUGUAGCGGUGAAAUGCAUAGAUAUUACAUAGAAUACCGAUUGAGAAGGCAGUCUACUAACUGUAUACUGACGCUAAUGGACGAAAGCGUGGGGAGCGAACAGGAUUAGAUACCCUGGUAGUCC
This 229-nucleotide ribosomal RNA is filed under the name uncultured bacterium. RNAcentral's name for it is "partial 16S ribosomal RNA". It matches the Rfam family "Bacterial small subunit ribosomal RNA", at positions 568 to 796 of the family's 1533-position model. The record is from RNAcentral.